RNAcentral lists this ribosomal RNA (484 nucleotides) under uncultured bacterium. RNAcentral describes it as "partial 16S ribosomal RNA". It matches the Rfam family "Bacterial small subunit ribosomal RNA", at positions 30 to 507 of the family's 1533-position model. The record is from RNAcentral.
AUUGAACGCUGGCGGCAGGCCUAACACAUGCAAGUCGAACGGAAAAAGGGAGCUUUUUCCUGGUUUUCGCGUGGGACGCGGGUGUGUUACCUAUGAAUAUGCUUCGGUUUGGUGGAGGACGACCGCAAACGGGUGCGGAUACUACAUACGUCUAGCGCCAGAAGCAGGGGGAGGGUUGGACAGCUUCCUAUCAUAUGAGCCUAGGUGGGAUUAGCUAGUUGGUGGGGUAGGGGCCUACCUAGCCGACGAUCCGUAACUGGACUGAGAGGAUGAUCAGUCACACUGGAACUGAGACACGGUCCAGGCUCCUACGGGAGGCAGCAGUGGGGAAUGUUGGACAAUGGGCGGAAGCCUGAUCCAGCGAGGCCGCGUGUGUGAAGAAGGCCUUCGGAUUGUAAAGAACUUUUAGUGGGGAGGAAGCGCAUUAAGUUAAUACCUUGCGUGAUUGACGUUACCGGCAGAAGAAGCACCGGCUAACUACGUG